This 670-nucleotide long non-coding RNA is filed under the name Brassica napus (rape). Its description in RNAcentral is "long non-coding RNA (BNAP_LNC027166)". Lineage: Eukaryota; Viridiplantae; Streptophyta; Magnoliopsida; Brassicales; Brassicaceae. The record is from RNAcentral.
GUUGGGAUUGUCUCUUGUAUCUGCUGGUGUGGCUGUGUUUGUUUCUCUUUUAUUUGAUGGGUAAUAUGUAAACAAAAAUCAUUGUUAGUUGUAUUUAUCAGAGUUUGUAACUUACUCUGCUUUUUUAUAUAGGUAAUUUCACUGAUCUUGGUUAUCGUCUUCAUAUUCUUCGUAAUCAUCUGCGAAAAUAAGUUUGUAAAUUGUUAAAUAGUUGGCCCUGUAGUUUGUAUUUGUUUAGCUUGCUCAAUGUAUGUGUCGUUGAGUUUUAGUUGAGUUGAUUGGUUGGUAUAUUUGUUUUGAAGUUUAUUUGUAAGAUUAGACAAAAAGAGAGGUGAUCAUUAAUGAUUCGUCUUUUUUGAGAUUCUAGUUUUUGGUGUUUUGAUUGUUUGGGUUAUUGUGGUUUCUUUUAAGAUGUAAAAUAAAGAUUUGUGUAAAAUUAGAUUGAUAAGUAAUGGAGAUAAAUAGAAGACCACAAAUCUUGGGUAGAAAAUAUUUUUGAUUAUUGAUGUUAGCACAAUAUAGACAGUAAUAUAAAGAGAAUUAUGUGUUGAUUGUUUCUUACGGAUCAAUGAUGAGACGGAUGACGACCCGAGUUGUUUCUUUGGUGAGGUCAGAGCCCUGGACAAAACGGAUUUGCCCAACCACAUCUGCGAGUUUAAAUAUCAGUUAU